RNAcentral lists this long non-coding RNA (291 nucleotides) under Mustela putorius furo (domestic ferret). RNAcentral describes it as "lncRNA (ENSMPUG00000031246.1)". The record is from RNAcentral. Lineage: Eukaryota; Metazoa; Chordata; Mammalia; Carnivora; Mustelidae.
CCCCAGUAACCUCUAAGAAUUUAAGAGAAAACAAAAUUUGUCUUCUAUGGACUUCUAUGGGCUUUUGCUCUUCCUGAAAUCCUUAUCUUCCCCCAAGGAGCCCUCCUGACUGCCCUCACUCUGAGCAGGCUGGACACGACUACUCUCCCUGGUCCCCAUCUUCAUAUCUGAAGAUUUGCUCCCUGAAAAUACUUCUUCUUAGACAUUAUGAGUUUCACCCCCACUCCAGGGGAAAAAAGAAAGGAAAGGAAACCUCCCGCGAUAAGGAUGGGCGAAAAGAGAAGGUGCCCG